RNAcentral lists this ribosomal RNA (479 nucleotides) under uncultured organism. RNAcentral's name for it is "bacterial SSU rRNA". It matches the Rfam family "Bacterial small subunit ribosomal RNA", at positions 28 to 507 of the family's 1533-position model. The record is from RNAcentral.
GAUGAACGCUAGCGGGAGGCCUAACACAUGCAAGCCGAGCGGUAGAGAUUCUUCGGAAUCUUGAGAGCGGCGUACGGGUGCGGAACACGUGUGCAACCUGCCUUUAUCAAGGGGAUAGCCUUUCGAAAGGAAGAUUAAUACCCUAUAAUAUAUGAUUCGGCAUCGGAUUAUAUUGAAAACUACGGUGGAUAAAGAUGGGCACGCGCAAGAUUAGCUAGUUGGUGAGGUAACGGCUCACCAAGGCGACGAUCUUUAGGGGGCCUGAGAGGGUGAUCCCCCACACUGGUACUGAGACACGGACCAGACUCCUACGGGAGGCAGCAGUGAGGAAUAUUGGACAAUGGGUGAAAGCCUGAUCCAGCCAUCCCGCGUGUAGGAAGACGGCCCUAUGGGUUGUAAACUACUUUUAUCUGGGGAUAAACCUACUUACGUGUAAGUAGCUGAAGGUACCAGAUGAAUAAGCACCGGCUAACUCCGUG